This 579-nucleotide ribosomal RNA is filed under the name uncultured marine eukaryote. RNAcentral's name for it is "SSU rRNA". It matches the Rfam family "Eukaryotic small subunit ribosomal RNA", at positions 631 to 1215 of the family's 1831-position model. The record is from RNAcentral.
UAGUUGGAUUUCUGCUGAGGACGACCGGUCCGCCCUCUGGGUGAGUACCUGGCUCGGCCUUGGCAUCUUCUUGGAGAACGUAACUGCACUUGACUGUGUGGUGCGGUAUUCAGGACUUUUACUUUGAGGAAAUUAGAGUGUUUCAAGCAGGCGCAUGCCUUGAAUACAUUAGCAUGGAAUAAUGAGAUAGGACCUUGGUUCUAUUUUGUUGGUUUCUAGAGCUGAGGUAAUGAUUAAUAGGGAUAGUUGGGGGCAUUCGUAUUUAACUGUCAGAGGUGAAAUUCUUGGAUUUGUUAAAGACUGAUUACUGCGAAAGCAUUUGCCAAGGAUGUUUUCACUGAUCAAGAACGAAAGUUAGGGGAUCGAAGACGAUCAGAUACCGUCGUAGUCUUAACCAUAAACCAUGCCGACUAAGGAUUGGAGGAUGUUCCUAUGUGACUCCUUCAGCACCUUUCGGGAAACUAAAGUCUUUGGGUUCCGGGGGGAGUAUGGUCGCAAGGCUGAAACUUAAAGGAAUUGACGGAAGGGCACCACCAGGAGUGGAGCCUGCGGCUUAAUUUGACUCAACACGGGGAAACU